ACCUUCGAUGGGGGAUAACCUAGGGGAAACCUGGGCGUAAUACCGCAUAACAUCUUUGGAGUGGAAAUUCCGCAGAUCAAAGGAGCAAUUCGCUGGAAGAGGGGGUCGCGGCUGAUUAGCUAGUUGGCGGGGUAACGGCCCACCAAGGCUUUGAUCGGUAGCCGGCCUGAGAGGGCGCACGGCCACACUGGAACUGAAACACGGUCCAG
RNAcentral lists this ribosomal RNA (209 nucleotides) under uncultured bacterium. RNAcentral's name for it is "partial 16S ribosomal RNA". It matches the Rfam family "Bacterial small subunit ribosomal RNA", at positions 128 to 334 of the family's 1533-position model. The record is from RNAcentral.